AAUCAACGCUGGCGGCGUGCCUCAGACAUGCAAGUCGAACGCGAAAGUUUCCUUCGGGGAGCGAGUAGAGUGGCGCACGGGUGAGUAACACGUAGGUAAUCUACCUUCGGAUGGGGAAUAACAAUCGGAAACGGUUGCUAAUACCGCAUAAUGCAGCGGCACCUAAUGGUGACAGUUGUUAAAGCGGGGGAGUCGUAAGACCUCGCGUCUGAAGAGGAGCCUGCGGCGGAUUAGCUUGUUGGUAAGGUAAUGGCUUACCAAGGCGACGAUCCGUAACCGGCCUGAGAGGGCGGUCGGUCACACUGACACUGACAUACGGGUCAGACUCCUACGGGAGGCAGCAGUCGGGAAUUUUGGGC
RNAcentral lists this ribosomal RNA (359 nucleotides) under uncultured bacterium. Its description in RNAcentral is "bacterial SSU rRNA". It matches the Rfam family "Bacterial small subunit ribosomal RNA", at positions 32 to 369 of the family's 1533-position model. The record is from RNAcentral.